RNAcentral lists this ribosomal RNA (587 nucleotides) under uncultured eukaryote. Its description in RNAcentral is "SSU rRNA". It matches the Rfam family "Eukaryotic small subunit ribosomal RNA", at positions 613 to 1201 of the family's 1831-position model. The record is from RNAcentral.
UUGUGGUUAAAAAGCUCGUAGCUGGAUCUCAACAGUCUUGAAGCGGUCAACUUUGUAGUUGUACUGCUUUGUAGACUGUGCUUUUGCUGGAGGUUUAGGGGUGCUCUUAAUCGAGUGUCUCUGGAUGCCAGCAGGUUUACUUUGAAAAAAUUAGAGUGCUCAAAGCAGGCUAAAAUGCCUGAAUAUUCGUGCAUGGAAUAAUAGAAUAGGAUGUCGAUCCUAUUUUGUUGGUUUUCGGGACUUGACAUAAUGAUUAAUAGGGACAGUCGGGGGCAUUUGUAUUCAAACGACAGAGGUGAAAUUCUUGGACCGUUUGAAGACAAACUACUGCGAAAGCAUUUGCCAAGAAUGUUUUCAUUAAUCAAGAACGAAAGUUAGAGGUUCGAAGGCGAUUAGAUACCGCCCUAGUUCUAACCAUAAACGAUGCCAGCUAGCGAUCUGCCGCUGUUUUUACUGUAGACUCGGCAGGAAGCUUCCGGGAAACCAAAGCAUUUGGGUUCCAGGGGAAGUAUGGUUGCGAAGCUGAAACUUAAAGGAAUUGACGGAAGGGCACCACCAGGAGUGGAGCCUGUGGCUUAAUUUGACUC